This is a long non-coding RNA of Corticium candelabrum, 567 nucleotides long. RefSeq lists it as uncharacterized. The transcript is spliced from 3 exons. Lineage: Eukaryota; Metazoa; Porifera; Homoscleromorpha; Homosclerophorida; Plakinidae. The record is from RefSeq and is a predicted model, not a curated record.
CGCGCAAGGACACAAAGACCUGCAGUCUGUGCUGAUAAAUGUGACUAUUGGCGUUGAGAUUGAAAAAAGUUUAUCACAAUUUUGUUGUGCCAUAUUAAAGUUUAGACUCAGCAAUGCUCAACAAGCACUUAACCUUUUAUCUAUUUGUCUUUCGGGUAUCCAUUGUUGUCGCUAUUUUGGAGUCAGUCGCUAGUGAGCAAAGAGUACUUUGUCAAACUGAUGGCAAAGGUGUCUUGCUGUACGAGAAAAAUAUUACGCUGUACAGUCUUGUUGGAUCAGAGAUCAAAUUCCUGCCACAUAAAUUCCAAAAAAAGGGAAAUUCAAAGAAGUUUGUACCGCCUUCAAAAUACAGUUGGACUGUCAACGCCCUUGGAACUAAUUUUACCUAUCAGUGGCUAAAAGCUGUCAAAACGUCAAAUGGAAAAGAAUAUCGGACAAUCUUCAAAAUGUUUUACAGAGAACUCAAAGUAAAGGGUGUUACAGAGGAAUACGAUGGUGUGCACCUAAGAUAUACAGUUGUGCUACCUAAUUCUACGAGAUUUCAUUCAAAAACGGCGAUUUUACAUG